Molecule: ribosomal RNA, 498 nt
Filed under: Triticum aestivum (bread wheat)
Lineage: Eukaryota; Viridiplantae; Streptophyta; Magnoliopsida; Poales; Poaceae
Description: partial small subunit ribosomal RNA
Source: RNAcentral
AUGGCCGCCGCGUCCAUGGUCUUCCGCACCACUUAUCCGGGCUACGCCAACCUGCUCCUUGAACAUUCUAAGCAGUUGUUCGAAUUCGCCGACAAGUACCGGGGGAAGUACGACGCCAGCAUCACCGUGACGCGGAAUUACUACGGGUCAUUCAGCGGAUACGGGGAUGAGCUGCUAUGGGCGGCGGCGUGGCUGUUCGAGGCGACGGAGGAGCGGUUCUACCUCGAGUACCUCGCGCGCAACGGCGACGCUCUGGGCGGCACGGGCUGGUCCAUCAACCAGUUCGGCUGGGACGUCAAGUACCCCGGCGUGCAAGUGCUGGCAGCCAAGUUCCUGCUUCAGGGCAGAGCCGGCGAGCACGCGGAGGCGCUGCAGAGGUACCGGCAGAACGCCGAGUUCUUCGUGUGCUCGUGCGUCGGGAAGGGCGCCGUCAACGUCCCGAGGACCCCCGGAGGUGGAACAACCUCCAGUUCGUCACCAGCGCCUCCUUCCUGCUGA